GAUGAACGCUAGCGGCAGGCCUAACACAUGCAAGUCGAGGGAGAGGUUACCUUCGGGUAACCAAAACCGGCGCACGGGUGCGUAACGCGUAUACAAUCUGCCUUUCACAUAGGGAUAGCCCGAAGAAAUUUGGAUUAAUACCUAAUGGUAUAUAAGAGCGGCAUCGUUUUUAUAUUAAAGCUACGGUGGUGAAAGAUGAGUAUGCGUUCUAUUAGCUAGUUGGAGAGGUAACGGCUCCCCAAGGCGACGAUAGAUAGGGGUUCUGAGAGGGAUGUCCCCCACACUGGUACUGAGAUACGGACCAGACUCCUACGGGAGGCAGCAGUGAGGAAUAUUGGACAAUGGUCGGAAGACUGAUCCAGCCAUGCCGCGUGCAGGAUGAAGGUCCUAUGGAUUGUAAACUGCUUCUGUAAGGGAAGAAUAAGGAGUACGUGUACUUUGAUGACGGUACCUUACGAAUAAGCAUCGGCUAACUCCGUG
This 480-nucleotide ribosomal RNA is filed under the name uncultured bacterium. RNAcentral's name for it is "partial 16S ribosomal RNA". It matches the Rfam family "Bacterial small subunit ribosomal RNA", at positions 28 to 507 of the family's 1533-position model. The record is from RNAcentral.